AGUGAACGCUGGCGGUAGGCCUAACACAUGCAAGUCGAACGGCAGCACAGUAAGAGCUUGCUCUUACGGGUGGCGAGUGGCGGACGGGUGAGGAAUACAUCGGAAUCUACUUUUUCGUGGGGGAUAACGUAGGGAAACUUACGCUAAUACCGCAUACGACCUACGGGUGAAAGCAGGGGAUCUUCGGACCUUGCGCGAUUGAAUGAGCCGAUGUCGGAUUAGCUAGUUGGCGGGGUAAAGGCCCACCAAGGCGACGAUCCGUAGCUGGUCUGAGAGGAUGAUCGGCCACACUGGAACUGGGACACGGUCCAGACUCCUACGGGAGGCAGCAGUGGGGAAUAUUGGACAAUGGGCGCGAGCCUGAUCCAGCCAUACCGCGUGGGUGAAGAAGGCCUUCGGGUUGUAAAGCCCUUUUGUUGGGAAAGAAAAGCAGCAGGUUAAUACCCCGCUGUUCUGACGGUACCCAAAGAAUAAGCACCGGCUAACUUCGUG
This 492-nucleotide ribosomal RNA is filed under the name uncultured bacterium. RNAcentral describes it as "partial 16S ribosomal RNA". It matches the Rfam family "Bacterial small subunit ribosomal RNA", at positions 29 to 507 of the family's 1533-position model. The record is from RNAcentral.